GGUGUGGUCGUGCACCCUCAUGUCGUGCGGCGGGGUGAUGUCCGCGGGCUCCCGGCGCGUACCGCGACCGCUGCCCGGCCGCGCUC
RNAcentral lists this transfer RNA (86 nucleotides) under Streptomyces albidoflavus. RNAcentral's name for it is "tRNA-Ile". The record is from RNAcentral. Lineage: Bacteria; Bacillati; Actinomycetota; Actinomycetes; Kitasatosporales; Streptomycetaceae.